UGCAAGUCGAGGGGUAACAUAGAGUGCUUGCACUUUGAUGACGACCGGCGCACGGGUGAGUAACGCGUAUACAAUCUGCCUCAUACUAGGGGAUAGCCCAGAGAAAUUUGGAUUAAUACCCUAUAGUAUCAUUUAGAGUCAUCUCUUAAUGAUUAAAGGUUACGGUAUGAGAUGAGUAUGCGUUCUAUUAGUUAGUAGGUGAGGUAACGGCUCACCUAGACCACGAUAGAUAGGGGCCCUGAGAGGGGGAUCCCCCACACUGGUACUGAGACACGGACCAGACUCCUACGGGAGGCAGCAGUGAGGAAUAUUAGACAAUGGGCGAAAGCCUGAUCUAGCCAUGCCGCGUGCAGGAUGACGGCCCUAUGGGUUGUAAACUGCUUUUAUACAGGAAGAAAAAACUCUACGUGUAGAGUCUUGACGGUACUGUAAGAAUAAGGAUCGGCUAACUUCGUGCCAGCAGCCGCGGUAAUACGGAGGAUCCAAGCGUUAUCCGGAAUUAUUGGGUUUAAAGGGUCCGUAGGUGGACAAUUAAGUCAGAGGUGAAAUCCUGCAGCUCAACUGUAGAAUUGCCUUUGAAACUGGUUGUCUUGAGUCAUUAUGAAGUGGUUAGAAUGUGUAGUGUAGCGGUGAAAUGCAUAGAUAUUACACAGAAUACCAAUUGCGAAGGCAGAUCACUAAUAAUGUACUGACACUGAUGGACGAAAGCGUGGGUAGCGAACAGGAUUAGAUACCCUGGUAGUCCACGCCGUAAACGAUGGUCACUAGCUGUUCGGACUUCGGUCUGAGUGGCUAAGCGAAAGUGAUAAGUGACC
This 815-nucleotide ribosomal RNA is filed under the name uncultured Bacteroidota bacterium. RNAcentral's name for it is "bacterial SSU rRNA". It matches the Rfam family "Bacterial small subunit ribosomal RNA", at positions 56 to 869 of the family's 1533-position model. The record is from RNAcentral. Lineage: Bacteria; Pseudomonadati; Bacteroidota.